AAACUGGGUUUCCUUAGUAACGGCGAGUGAAGCGGUAAAAGCUCAAAUUUGAAAUCUGGUACUUUCAGUGCCCGAGUUGUAAUUUGUAGAAUUUGUCUUUGAUUAGGUCCUUGUCUAUGUUCCUUGGAACAGGACGUCAUAGAGGGUGAGAAUCCCGUUUGGCGAGGAUACCUUUUCUCUGUAAGACUUUUUCGAAGAGUCGAGUUGUUUGGGAAUGCAGCUCAAAGUGGGUGGUAAAUUCCAUCUAAAGCUAAAUAUUGGCGAGAGACCGAUAGCGAACAAGUACAGUGAUGGAAAGAUGAAAAGAACUUUGAAAAGAGAGUGAAAAAGUACGUGAAAUUGUUGAAAGGGAAGGGCAUUUGAUCAGACAUGGUGUUUUUUGCAUGCACUCGCCUCUCGUGGGCUUGGGCCUCUCAAAAAUUUCACUGGGCCAACAUCAAUUCUGGCAGCAGGAUAAAUCAUUAAGAAUGUAGCUACUUCGGUAGUGUUAUAGCUUUUUGGAAUACUGUUAGCCGGGAUUGAGGACUGCGCUUCGGCAAGGAUGUUGGCAUAAUGGUUAAAUGCCGCCCGUCUUGAAACACGGGACCA
Molecule: ribosomal RNA, 588 nt
Filed under: Hanseniaspora uvarum
Lineage: Eukaryota; Fungi; Ascomycota; Saccharomycetes; Saccharomycodales; Saccharomycodaceae
Description: partial large subunit ribosomal RNA
Rfam family: Eukaryotic large subunit ribosomal RNA
Source: RNAcentral